CGUAGCCAGCAGUCAGCAGUAGUACGGAGGGUGCGAUCAUAAUACGUAGUACUGGGCGUCAAGGCGCAUGCAGGUUGAUUUAUUAAGUCAGAUGUGACAGGCCCGGGGCUCCACCUGGGAUUAGCAUUUGACACUGGCAGAGUAAGAGUACUGGUGGAGGGGGGGUAGCACUUUCAGGUGUAGCGGUGAAAUGCGUAGAGAUCUGAAGGAAUACCGGUGGCGACGGCCGCCCCCCUGGUACAGAUACUGACACUCAGAUGCGAAAGGGGGCGGGAGCAAACAGGAUUAGAUACCCUGGUAGUCCACGCCGUAAACGAUGUCUACUUGGAGGUUGUGGCCCCUGAGCCGUGGCUUUCGGAGCUAACGCGUUAAGUAGACCGCGUGGGGGAGUACGGUCGCAAGAUUAAAACUCAAAUGAAUUGACGGGGGCCCGCACAAGCGGUGGAGCAUGUGGUUUAAUUCGAUGCAACGCGAAGAACCUUACCUACUCUUGACAUCCAGAGAACUUUCCAGAGAUGGAUUGGUGCCUUCGGGAACUCUGAGACAGGUGCUGCAUGGCUGUCGUCAGCUCGUGUUGUGAAAUGUUGGGUUAAGUCCCGCAACGAGCGCAACCCUUAUCCUUGUUUGCCAGCGAGUAAUGUCGGGAACUCCAGGGAGACUGCCGGUGAUAAACCGGAGGAAGGUGGGGACGACGUCAAGUCAUCAUGGCCCUUACGAGUAGGGCUACACACGUGCUACAAUGGCGCAUACAGAGGGCGGCCAACUUGCGAAAGUGAGCGAAUCCCAAAAAGUGCGUCGUAGUCCGGAUUGGAGUCUGCAACUCGACUCCAUGAAGUCGGAAUCGCUAGUAAUCGUGGAUCAGAAUGCCACGGUGAAUAUUGUUCCCGGGCCUUGUACACACCGCCCGUCACACCAUGGGAUUUUUUUUUAAACUUACUCUCGGCACAAAACCUCAC
Molecule: ribosomal RNA, 956 nt
Filed under: Vibrio parahaemolyticus
Lineage: Bacteria; Pseudomonadati; Pseudomonadota; Gammaproteobacteria; Vibrionales; Vibrionaceae
Description: bacterial SSU rRNA
Rfam family: Bacterial small subunit ribosomal RNA
Source: RNAcentral